UAGGGAAUCUUCGGCAAUGGACGGAAGUCUGACCGAGCAACGCCGCGUGAGUGAAGAAGGUUUUCGGAUCGUAAAGCUCUGUUGUAAGAGAAGAACGAGUGUGAGAGUGGAAAGUUCACACUGUGACGAUAUCUUACCAGAAAGGGACGGCUAACUACGUGCCAGCAGCCGCGGUAAUACGUAGGUCCCGAGCGUUGUCCGGAUUUAUUGGGCGUAAAGCGAGCGCAGGCGGUUAGAUAAGUCUGAAGUUAAAGGCUGUGGCUUAACCAUAGUACGCUUUGGAAACUGUUUAACUUGAGUGCAAGAGGGGAGAGUGGAAUUCCAUGUGUAGCGGUGAAAUGCGUAGAUAUAUGGAGGAACACCGGUGGCGAAAGCGGCUCUCUGGCUUGUAACUGACGCUGAGGCUCGAAAGCGUGGGGAGCAAACAGGAUUAGAUACCCUGGUAGUCCACGCCGUAAACGAUGAGUGCUAGGUGUUAGACCCUUUCCGGGGUUUAGUGCCGCAGCUAACGCAUUAAGCACUCCGCCUGGGGAGUACGACCGCAAGGUUG
RNAcentral lists this ribosomal RNA (550 nucleotides) under uncultured bacterium. RNAcentral's name for it is "bacterial SSU rRNA". It matches the Rfam family "Bacterial small subunit ribosomal RNA", at positions 355 to 896 of the family's 1533-position model. The record is from RNAcentral.